GACCAGCUCGUGACUCAUUCCCUCUGGGUUGGUUAAGAGGUAGGGAAUGUCCGGCAACAGUUGUGGGAAAUCUAUCGACAUUUCCAAUAACUGAGGGAACCAAGGUUGUGAUCUCCAUAACGGGGUUACCAGUGCCAGCGUCCCCUUGGAAUAUCGAAGGACCGUUAGGGUUCGAGAAACGAGGUUGAACGGGGGAAACGCGUAGUUCCUGCCCUUGGUCCAGUCCUGCAGGAAUGCGUCUGUUGCCAGAGCAUCUGGAUCCGGUCUCAAACUGAAGAAUCGAGGAAGUUG
Non-coding RNA from Pelobates cultripes (western spadefoot toad), 291 nucleotides. Lineage: Eukaryota; Metazoa; Chordata; Amphibia; Anura; Pelobatidae. The record is from the annotation of a GenBank genome assembly.